Salmo salar (Atlantic salmon) is the source of this 54-nucleotide non-coding RNA. The record is from Rfam. NCBI's taxonomy places the organism in Eukaryota, Metazoa, Chordata, Actinopteri, Salmoniformes, Salmonidae.
CACAUGCAUUACUGUCAGUCACUUUGGAUAAAAGUGUCUGCUAAAUGACAUGUA